RNAcentral lists this transfer RNA (66 nucleotides) under Enneaphyllus aeneipennis. Its description in RNAcentral is "tRNA-Phe". Lineage: Eukaryota; Metazoa; Arthropoda; Insecta; Coleoptera; Cerambycidae. The record is from RNAcentral.
ACUUAAAUAGCUUAUAAAUAAGAGCGUGAUAUUGAAGAUAUUAAGGAAAUAGAUUAUUUUUAAGUG